This 253-nucleotide ribosomal RNA is filed under the name uncultured bacterium. RNAcentral describes it as "partial 16S ribosomal RNA". It matches the Rfam family "Bacterial small subunit ribosomal RNA", at positions 524 to 776 of the family's 1533-position model. The record is from RNAcentral.
UACGAAGGGUGCAAGCGUUACUCGGAAUUACUGGGCGUAAAGGGUGCGUAGGUGGUUUGUUAAGUCAGGGGUGAAAUCCCGCGGCCCAACCGUGGAACUGCCUUUGAUACUGGCGAACUUGAGUGCGUGAGGGGUAGGGGGAACGAGCAGUGUAGCGGUGAAAUGCGUAGAUAUUGCUCGGAAGGCCAGAGCCGAAGGGGCCCUACUGGUGCGCAACUGACACUGAGGCACGAAAGCGUGGGGAGCAAACAGG